Molecule: ribosomal RNA, 301 nt
Filed under: uncultured bacterium
Lineage: Bacteria
Description: partial 16S ribosomal RNA
Rfam family: Bacterial small subunit ribosomal RNA
Source: RNAcentral
CAGCCGCCGCGGGAAUACGUAGGUGGCAAGCGUUGUCCGGAAUGAUUGGGCGUAAAGGGCGCGCAGGCGGCUGUGUAAGUCUGUCUAGAAAGUGCGGGGCUAAACCCCGUGAGAGGAUGGAAACUGGACAGCUGAGAGUGUCGGAGAGGAAAGCGGAAUUCCUAGUGUAGCGGUGAAAUGCGUAGAUAUUAGGAGGAACACCGGUGGCGAAAGCACUCUGCUGGGCCGACACUGACACUGAGAGACGAAGGCUAGGGGAGCAAAUGGGAUUAGAUACCCCCGUAGUCCCUGUCUCUUAUAA